RNAcentral lists this ribosomal RNA (439 nucleotides) under uncultured bacterium. Its description in RNAcentral is "partial 16S ribosomal RNA". It matches the Rfam family "Bacterial small subunit ribosomal RNA", at positions 339 to 795 of the family's 1533-position model. The record is from RNAcentral.
CCACGGGGUGCUGCAGUGAGGAAUAUUGCACAGUGGGGGGAACCCUGAUGCAGCAACGCCGCGUGGAGGAUGACGCAUUUCGGUGUGUAAACUCCUUUUAUAUGUCAAGAAAAUGACGGUAGCAUAUGAAUAAGCACCGGCUAACUCCGUGCCAGCAGCCGCGGUAAUACGGAGGGUGCAAGCGUUACUCGGAAUCACUGGGCGUAAAGGACGCGUAGGCGGGUUGGAAAGUCAGGUGUGAAAUCCUACAGCUUAACUGUAGAACUGCACUUGAAACUUCUAAUCUAGAGUAUGGGAGGGGGAGAUGGAAUUAGUGGUGUAGGGGUAAUAUCCGUAGAUAUCACUAGGAAUACCUAAAGCGAAGGCGAUCUCCUGGAACAUUACUGACGCUAAGGCGUGAAAGCGUGGGGAGCAAACAGGAUUAGAUACCCCAGUAGUC